UUCUUUUCUUUUAUAGUUACUUUGUUAUCAUCCCCUUCUAAACUGCCUUCAGUAUCUGGGAUAAGGAAGACAAGGCUUAAUGACCACUAAGGUUCUAGCUGACAUCUUUCAUACUGAAUUUUUGUAAAGUAAUCUAACAAGCUGCCAAAGAACACAUCCCAAGUAGUAAUCACAGAUGAUGAAGCACCUUACAGGACACCUCCACCUUGAAACACGUGAGUGUCCAGAGAAGUAUUAAAGCCUUAAUAAUAGACUACUGAAGGUUAACUAUUUACAUUAUUCUAAAAAUAUUUUAAGCUGUAUUACAGUGCUAUAAAUUCUUCUUUUAAGGAAAAAAGUAAUAGAUUGUUUCCUUACCGUAUUCUGAAAGGAAAAAAAUAUAUCCAUAGUAACUA
Sapajus apella (tufted capuchin) is the source of this 395-nucleotide long non-coding RNA. RefSeq lists it as uncharacterized. The transcript has 2 exons. Lineage: Eukaryota; Metazoa; Chordata; Mammalia; Primates; Cebidae. The record is from RefSeq and is a predicted model, not a curated record.